This 496-nucleotide ribosomal RNA is filed under the name uncultured bacterium. RNAcentral's name for it is "partial 16S ribosomal RNA". It matches the Rfam family "Bacterial small subunit ribosomal RNA", at positions 29 to 507 of the family's 1533-position model. The record is from RNAcentral.
AUGAACGCUGGCGGCGUGCCUAAUACAUGCAAGUCGCGCGAACGGUCGAGAAGCUUGCUUCUCUGAUGUUAGCGGCGGACGGGUGAGUAACACGUGGAUAACCUACCUAUAAGACUGGGAUAACUUCGGGAAACCGUAGCUAAUACCGGAUAAUAUUUUGAACCGCAUGGUUCAAAAGUGAAAGACGGUCUUGCUGUCACUUAUAGAUGGAUCCGCGCUGCAUUAGCUAGUUGGUAAGGUAACGGCUUACCAAGGCAACGAUGCAUAGCCGACCUGAGAGGGUGAUCGGCCACACUGGAACUGAGACACGGUCCAGACUCCUACGGGAGGCAGCAGUAGGGAAUCUUCCGCAAUGGGCGAAAGCCUGACGGAGCAACGCCGCGUGAGUGAUGAAGGUCUUCGGAUCGUAAAACUCUGUUAUUAGGGAAGAACAUAUGUGUAAGUAACUGUGCACAUCUUGACGGUACCUAAUCAGAAAGCCACGGCUAACUACGUG